Molecule: non-coding RNA, 156 nt
Organism: Populus trichocarpa (black cottonwood)
Lineage: Eukaryota; Viridiplantae; Streptophyta; Magnoliopsida; Malpighiales; Salicaceae
Source: Rfam
UCUAGAACUCGAGAUAUGGGCUGAACACUGAACAGUGUCUGGUUUGUAGGACAGAUUCUGACUUCUCUUUUGUUACUACAAUUUGAACUUGAAAACGACCGUUUUGAAUCUUGGACUCUUCAUGAAGGUUUUAGGCCUAUGUCUUAGCUUUCCAUC